Molecule: ribosomal RNA, 1372 nt
Filed under: uncultured bacterium
Lineage: Bacteria
Description: bacterial SSU rRNA
Rfam family: Bacterial small subunit ribosomal RNA
Source: RNAcentral
GAUGAACGCUGGCGGCGUGCCUAAUACAUGCAAGUCGAGCGAACGGACGAGAAGCUUGCUUCUCUGAUGUUAGCGGCGGACGGGUGAGUAACACGUGGAUAACCUACCUAUAAGACUGGGAUAACUUCGGGAAACCGGAGCUAAUACCGGAUAAUAUUUUGAACCGCAUGGUUCAAAAGUGAAAGACGGUCUUGCUGUCACUUAUAGAUGGAUCCGCGCUGCAUUAGCUAGUUGGUAAGGUAACGGCUUACCAAGGCAACGAUGCAUAGCCGACCUGAGAGGGUGAUCGGCCACACUGGAACUGAGACACGGUCCAGACUCCUACGGGAGGCAGCAGUAGGGAAUCUUCCGCAAUGGGCGAAAGCCUGACGGAGCAACGCCGCGUGAGUGAUGAAGGUCUUCGGAUCGUAAAACUCUGUUAUUAGGGAAGAACAUAUGUGUAAGUAACUGUGCACAUCUUGACGGUACCUAAUCAGAAAGCCACGGCUAACUACGUGCCAGCAGCCGCGGUAAUACGUAGGUGGCAAGCGUUAUCCGGAAUUAUUGGGCGUAAAGCGCGCGUAGGCGGUUUUUUAAGUCUGAUGUGAAAGCCCACGGCUCAACCGUGGAGGGUCAUUGGAAACUGGAAAACUUGAGUGCAGAAGAGGAAAGUGGAAUUCCAUGUGUAGCGGUGAAAUGCGCAGAGAUAUGGAGGAACACCAGUGGCGAAGGCGACUUUCUGGUCUGUAACUGACGCUGAUGUGCGAAAGCGUGGGGAUCAAACAGGAUUAGAUACCCUGGUAGUCCACGCCGUAAACGAUGAGUGCUAAGUGUUAGGGGGUUUCCGCCCCUUAGUGCUGCAGCUAACGCAUUAAGCACUCCGCCUGGGGAGUACGACCGCAAGGUUGAAACUCAAAGGAAUUGACGGGGACCCGCACAAGCGGUGGAGCAUGUGGUUUAAUUCGAAGCAACGCGAAGAACCUUACCAAAUCUUGACAUCCUUUGACAACUCUAGAGAUAGAGCCUUCCCCUUCGGGGGACAAAGUGACAGGUGGUGCAUGGUUGUCGUCAGCUCGUGUCGUGAGAUGUUGGAUUAAGUCCCGCAACGAGCGCAACCCUUAAGCUUAGUUGCCAUCAUUAAGUUGGGCACUCUAAGUUGACUGCCGGUGACAAACCGGAGGAAGGUGGGGAUGACGUCAAAUCAUCAUGCCCCUUAUGAUUUGGGCUACACACGUGCUACAAUGGACAAUACAAAGGGCAGCGAAACCGCGAGGUCAAGCAAAUCCCAUAAAGUUGUUCUCAGUUCGGAUUGUAGUCUGCAACUCGACUACAUGAAGCUGGAAUCGCUAGUAAUCGUAGAUCAGCAUGCUACGGUGAAUACGUUCCCGGGUCU